UACGAGAGGCCCGAGCGUUAAUCGGAAUCACUGGGCUUAAAGGGUGCGUAGGCGGAGCCGCAAGUGUCUCGUGAAAUCCCCCGUCUCAACCGGGGAACUGCGGGGCAUACUGCGGUUCUUGAGGCAGGUAGGGGUCGCUGGAACGCUAGGUGGAGCGGUGAAAUGCGUAGAUAUCUAGCGGAACGCCGAUGGUGAAGACAGGCGGCUGGGCCUAGCCUGACGCUGAGGCACGAAAGCGUGGGGAGCAAACAGG
Molecule: ribosomal RNA, 253 nt
Filed under: uncultured bacterium
Lineage: Bacteria
Description: partial 16S ribosomal RNA
Rfam family: Bacterial small subunit ribosomal RNA
Source: RNAcentral